GUCCUUGGCAAAUGAUGUUUACCCUCGUCGACAUUGUUAGGGCAGCGCCGGCACCUCAUUCUUCCGUCGGCAGGCAAAGGUUCGUCCUUGUUGAUGGCCACUCGGGUGAUAGUACGUAUCGGCGAUGGGCAUUUAGACUUCAAUUUCUAUUGAUGUUUGGACGAUGGAAUCUUGAAGGAGGAAGAGUUUGACCCGCUUCAUUUUUCAAGAGUUUCGGUAAAUAGAGAAGAUGGAGAUAAACGAUUAAUCUCUAAAUCCGAUGUGGCCAGGCUGUUCAAACUAAAGGGACUAAGGUGUGGAUAAUGUUGAGACCUAAGACCUGGAAUGAAAGUAGCUGCAAAUGUCAUCUUGAAUUUCUGAAGGUUGUUUUGAUGUCUGACUGGUGUGGCCUGAACUGAAACGGAUGUGACACUUCGUUCUUUCGAAGUUUCCAGUUAAUUGGAAAUGAUGAAAUAGAUUAUUGACUAAAAGCUUCAGCCUUGGCCAGUUUUGGUGGAGCUGGGGUUGCAAUGCUACCAUGGAGUUCAAUUGGGAUUCUUGAAACUGUCGUGGAUGAGAUUUAUAAUGUACUAUACUCUUAAAAUAAUGGCAAAUGUCCUUAUCCCUACUCUUUUCCAUGGUUAGUGUUUCAUGACUCUAAAGGUAAAAAUUGUGCUAGGAAACUUUAAGCUAGUGGCUUGCAUUCCAAAAAGGCCAAUAUUGGCUAAAGUAAAGGUUUUGGUAAGGCUUAAAAAGACCACAAAGAAUCUGAACUAGAGUACUUGAGUACUUGACGGGCGUUUAUCUAAGGUUACUGUAACUGUUGAUUGUAGUGUUCUUCAGGCCCAGAGGAAAUCGCUAGAAAAAGAAAUUGUCCUUGGCUAUUAACUAAAAAGAAUGUAUAGAGUAAAUUUUAAUUCUCCUAGA
This is a long non-coding RNA of Macrobrachium nipponense, 906 nucleotides long. RefSeq lists it as uncharacterized. The transcript has 4 exons. The record is from RefSeq and is a predicted model, not a curated record. Lineage: Eukaryota; Metazoa; Arthropoda; Malacostraca; Decapoda; Palaemonidae.